Molecule: ribosomal RNA, 253 nt
Filed under: uncultured bacterium
Lineage: Bacteria
Description: partial 16S ribosomal RNA
Rfam family: Bacterial small subunit ribosomal RNA
Source: RNAcentral
UACGUAGGGUGCGAGCGUUGUCCGGAAUUAUUGGGCGUAAAGAGCUCGUAGGCGGUUUGUCACGUCUGCUGUGAAAUCCCGAGGCUCAACCUCGGGCCUGCAGUGGGUACGGGCAGACUAGAGUGUGGUAGGGGAGACUGGAAUUCCUGGUGUAGCGGUGAAAUGCGCAGAUAUCAGGAGGAACACCGAUGGCGAAGGCAGGUCUCUGGGCCACUACUGACGCUGAGAAGCGAAAGCGUGGGGAGCGAACAGG